This 305-nucleotide ribosomal RNA is filed under the name uncultured bacterium. Its description in RNAcentral is "bacterial SSU rRNA". It matches the Rfam family "Bacterial small subunit ribosomal RNA", at positions 28 to 334 of the family's 1533-position model. The record is from RNAcentral.
GACGAACGCUGGCGGCGUGCUUAACACAUGCAAGUCGAGCGGUAAGGCUCCUUCGGGAGUACACGAGCGGCGAACGGGUGAGUAACACGUGAACAAUCUGCCCAUCACUUUGGGAUAACUUCGGGAAACCGAAGCUAAUACCGAAUACGACCACCUCGGGCAUCCGAUGGUGGUGGAAAGUUCCGGCGGUGAUGGAUGAGCUCGCGGCCUAUCAGCUUGUUGGUGGGGUAACGGCCUACCAAGGCUUCGACGGGUAGCCGGCCUGAGAGGGUGACCGGCCACACUGGGACUGAGACACGGCCCAG